AGAGAGGAGAGAGAGAGAGAGAGAGAGGGGGGGAAGUGAGUAGAGAAAGAGAGAAAGCUCGGAGGUAGCCGAGCUCCUCUAAUGGCGAAAUCGAAGACGAAGCAUCUCUCGUACAUCUCCUUCCUCUCUCAGAUCAUCCCCGCGCUCUCUUACACCACCCUCUAAUCGCUCGUCUUCUCCCCUAAGAAGCUCCUCUCCUCCUCCGCCUCCUCCCGAUUUCGGAUCAAUCGCAUCGUCUCCUCGAGCCCUAGGAUCCUCCUCCUUCUCCUAGCCCUAGCUUUCCUCGGAACCCUCCGCCUCGGCCCGGUAAUCCCCUUCUCCCCCAUCCCCUGCUCCCAGGACGGCGUGCGAUCGUCGUCGUCAUCGUCCUCAUUUCCGGCGGCGGAGGGGGAGUUUUGGAGGCAACCGGAUGGGAUGGGGUACCGGCCGUGCCUGAGCUUCAGCGAGGAGUACCGGGGGGAGCCGCCGGAGGGUCGCCGGAAGUACCUGCUGGUCGUCGUCGCCGGCGGGCUCAACCAACAAAGCAACCAAAUCGUCGGCGCCAUCGCCAUCGCCCGCAUCCUCGGCGCCGCCCUCGUCGUCCCCAUCCUCCAAGUUAACGUCGUCUGGGGCGACAAGAGUGGCCAAUUUUUUCAGGACAUUCGAUCACAGUUGGAAAAUGACUUCAUGAAAUCACUGCAGGCUGAGGUAACAGAUGAUUAUGAAGCGGAAGCUAUUAGACCAUUGUCAUGGUAUCCAGGGAACGUUGCAUGGCAUUUGAACUUUUCUCGUAUGCAACUUAGGAAGAACCAGGCACUUGAGAGAUUCCAUGAGUUUUUAAAGCAAGAGAAUGAGAUUGGAAACAUAACAAGGCAAGAGGCUAUCAGCAUGGUUCCUCCACUUUUCCUUGAUGUACUACCGGAUCACCACAUUCUUGACAAUCGGCGUUGACAAUGGCUGAGAAUCGUCUGCUUCUGGUACUUGGCAAAAACAGUACUUUGCAAAAACAGAUGAAGAUAAGGUGAAUAGACGAAUGUUCUAUUUUUUUCUCUAAUGCCUACUCUUCGCACGUGCAAUUGCCAAAUUACAUAACCGCAGAAUAUAUGCACGACUACCCAAUUCGGCAUAUUGUAUUUUGUUAAUUGCAAGCAAAACGACCAUUCCAUUCUGCAUUUUCCGGUGCUGGUAUGAUGUGAUCUUCCUUUCUAUUUUAGUUUCUUUACUUACCUUACUUUUAGUUUUUCUUUAUAAUAUUUAGGAUUUAUUUAGUUGAGUAAAUUUCAUAUAGUCUUUUAGAAAUUAAUUGAAAUUUGGAUAUUAAUCAAGAAAAGAUAUUGACUUUCAUAUUUGUUUAGUUCUAUUAUAGAUUUAUGAUCUAAUUUAUUUAUUAUGAGUGAGAACCAAAAAUAUUGUGGUGU
Ananas comosus (pineapple) is the source of this 1397-nucleotide RNA transcript. It is a transcript of the gene named tRNA (cytosine(34)-C(5))-methyltransferase-like, with no coding region annotated. The record is from RefSeq and is a predicted model, not a curated record. The transcript has 7 exons. NCBI's taxonomy places the organism in Eukaryota, Viridiplantae, Streptophyta, Magnoliopsida, Poales, Bromeliaceae.